This 253-nucleotide ribosomal RNA is filed under the name uncultured bacterium. RNAcentral describes it as "partial 16S ribosomal RNA". It matches the Rfam family "Bacterial small subunit ribosomal RNA", at positions 524 to 776 of the family's 1533-position model. The record is from RNAcentral.
UACGGGGGGGGCAAGCGUUGUUCGGAAUUACUGGGCGUAAAGGGCUCGUAGGCGGCCAAUUAAGUCGGACGUGAAAUCCCCAGGCUCAACCUGGGAACUGCGUCCGAUACUGGAUGGCUUGAAUCCGGGAGAGGGAUGCAGAAUUCCAGGUGUAGCGGUGAAAUGCGUAGAUAUCUGGAGGAACACCGGUGGCGAAGGCGGCAUCCUGGACCAACAUUGACGCUGAGGAGCGAAAGCCAGGGGAGCAAACGGG